GCUUAUUAAUCCUACGGGAGGCAGCAGUGGGGAAUAUUACACAAUGGGGCCAAGCGGAAUGCACCCAAUGGGCGAGUAUGAAGAACGCCAACGGGUUGUAAAGACUCUCAGCGGGGAGGAAGGAGGGGGUUUGUACCCUUGUCCCCUGACGUUUCCCUCCCAACAACCACCGGCUUACUCCGUGCCAGCAGCCGCGGUAAUAA
This 203-nucleotide ribosomal RNA is filed under the name uncultured bacterium. Its description in RNAcentral is "partial 16S ribosomal RNA". It matches the Rfam family "Bacterial small subunit ribosomal RNA", at positions 328 to 526 of the family's 1533-position model. The record is from RNAcentral.